AUUGAACGCUGGCGGCAGGCCUAACACAUGCAAGUCGAGCGGAUGAACGGAGCUUGCUUCUGGAUUCAGCGGCGGACGGGUGAGUAAUGCCUAGGAAUCUGCCUGGUUGUGGGUUAUAACGUCCGGAAACGGGCGCUAAUACCGCAUAAGUCCUGAGGGAGAAAGUGGGGGAGCUUCGGACCUCACGCUAUCAGAUGAGCCUAGGUCGGAUUAGCUAGUUGGUGGGGUAAAGGCCUACCAAGGCGACGAUCCGUAACUGGUCUGAGAGGAUGAUCAGUCACACUGGAACUGAGACACGGUCCAGACUCCUACGGGAGGCAGCAGUGGGGAAUAUUGGACAAUGGGCGAAAGCCUGAUCCAGCCAUGCCGCGUGUGUGAAGAAGGUCUUCGGAUUGUAAAGCACUUUAAGUUGGGAGGAAGGGCAGUAAGUUAAUACCUUGCUGUUUUGACGGUACCAACAGAAUAAGCACCGGCUAACUUCGUG
This 484-nucleotide ribosomal RNA is filed under the name uncultured bacterium. RNAcentral describes it as "partial 16S ribosomal RNA". It matches the Rfam family "Bacterial small subunit ribosomal RNA", at positions 30 to 507 of the family's 1533-position model. The record is from RNAcentral.